This 467-nucleotide ribosomal RNA is filed under the name uncultured bacterium. RNAcentral describes it as "partial 16S ribosomal RNA". It matches the Rfam family "Bacterial small subunit ribosomal RNA", at positions 28 to 506 of the family's 1533-position model. The record is from RNAcentral.
GACGAACGCUGGCGGCGUGCUUAACACAUGCAAGUCGAACGGAAAGGCCCUGCUUUUGUGGGGUGCUCGAGUGGCGAACGGGUGAGUAACACGUGAGUAAACUGCCCUUGACUUUGGGAUAACUUCAGGAAACUGGGGCUAAUACCGGAUAGGAGCUCCUGCUGCAUGGUGGGGGUUGGAAAGUUUCGGCGGUUGGGGAUGGACUCGCGGCUUAUCAGCUUGUUGGUGGGGUAGUGGCUUACCAAGGCUGUGACGGGUAGCCGGCCUGAGAGGGUGACCGGCCACAUUGGGACUGAGAUACGGCCCAGACUCCUACGGGAGGCAGCAGUGGGGAAUAUUGCACAAUGGGCGGAAGCCUGAUGCAGCAACGCCGCGUGCGGGAUGACGGCCUUCGGGUUGUAAACCGCUUUCGCCUGUGACGAAGCGUGAGUGACGGUAAUGGGUAAAGAAGCACCGGCUAACUACGU